This 1528-nucleotide long non-coding RNA is filed under the name Equus caballus (horse). RNAcentral describes it as "lncRNA (ENSECAG00000058966.1)". Lineage: Eukaryota; Metazoa; Chordata; Mammalia; Perissodactyla; Equidae. The record is from RNAcentral.
CUUAGAAGAAGAGGAGAUGAGGACUCAGACACACACGCAGAGGGAGGACCAUGCGAGGACACAGGAAGGAGGCGGCCGCCCGCCAGCCAAGGAGAGAGACCUCAGGGGGAACCAGCCCGCCUCACUCACACCUGGAUCUUAGACUUCCAGCCUCUGGACUGUGAGAGAAUAAAUUUCUGUUGUCAAAGCCGCCCCGUCUGCAAUAUUUUGUUACCAAGUCUGAGCACCUGACACAAGGAUAAGCUGUGUCCUGGAGGGAACUCGGGCCCCCGGUGAGACAGCCCUGCCUGGAUGUCCGGAGGUUGUGCCCAGUGGCCCUCUGUCUUCCUCUGAUUUGAGAAGUGCUUGAGAGUGACUGAAAAAUGACAGAGCCAGGCCUCAGUUGGUCACCAGAGUCUUCGGGGCCCUGAGACCUCCACCCCCGUGAGGUUUUAUGGAGCCCAGGUUGGGAGCAGCUCUUUCAUUAAGGAUGGUCCAAAGCCACCGAGGAGGUUGUCUCAUCAUGGCAGGGCUGGCUUCAUCCUGCUUCCUGCCCCCCCCAGACAGGUGGCUGAGGUGCAGCAGGACGUCGCACGGUUCCUGCGUGCGGCAAGGAGGCUGCUGGAAAGGUGGGCUCCCAGCUUGCUCCCCAGAACCUCGCCAUGUCAGGACCCUCACCUCUCUGCUGGGUGGGCCGUGGCCCAGCUGAGCUGCACGGGUCCCAGGCCCGAGCCAGCCCUUCUCAGCAUUUGCUACUGAACAUCGAGAACAUUCUGGGUGGGGCUCCAGAGAACAGAAGCCUCUCCAAGACCCCGAAGUCAGAGCCCACGCAGACCGAACUCACUGGGCUGGAAACCUCGGUGGUCACAUGGGAGGCCUGGGGCCGAGGCCGGUCAGCUCCAGGCCACUGGCUCCUGGCUGCCCCCGUGAGCCAGUCGGAGGGGCUGCUGUCCCGGCAUGCUGGGCUCCCGUGUCAGGGCAGCAGAGCCCCACCGGGUGCUGGCGGCAUUAAGUCAUUAAUCCCCACACCUUCCUUGUGAGGGCAACAGCGGAGUAAGAGGAGAGGAGACAAAGUGGCCCGAAAGGUUCUUGGGAGUGAAAAACCCAACCCCAACAGACACACAGAGGAAGCCUCCUCACCCUCACCUGACGCCCCGUCUAGCUGCUUUCGCUCGCCUCUCAUCUUCCACCUUCCCAGCAGCCCUGUGAGUGAACAGGAAAGCUGCCUUGUCCCAUUUUACUAAACUGAGCUCGAAUAACUCACUGAAGGUCACGUGGAGAGUGAAUGAAGGACUCAGGGGAAAGAAAUCCAGAUUUUCUGAAUCCACAUCAGAUGUUCUUCCAUCCUGCGUGUGCUGGACGGUGAAAAUAGCACCUUUCUCGUAAGUUCUGUAAUCAGGAGCCUUAAAACGCUUCCUCCACGUGUGGCUGUGAGAUCUCAUUCUCCCAGGGUGGCUGAGUGGCGCUAUCCUUCUGGUCCUGCUGGUUUCUCACAGGCUCACUCAAGGCUGUCUCCACUGGGAACCAAGGGAAAUUAGUGGGUGAAUCU